UUUUUAUUGAUGAAAGUAAUUACCGUACGACUUUUGUGAUUAAAUUUAAAUGGCUGCAAAUUUUGCAACUGAAAUU
Small nucleolar RNA from Drosophila melanogaster (fruit fly), 76 nucleotides. The record is from Ensembl. Lineage: Eukaryota; Metazoa; Arthropoda; Insecta; Diptera; Drosophilidae.